CGGGAGGGGAGUGAAAGAGAACCUGAAACCAUAUGCUUACAAGAAGUCAGAGCCCGUUAAAGGGUGAUGGCGUGCCUUUUGUAGAAUGAGCCGGCGAGUUAUGAUAUGCAGCAAGGUUAAGUGGGAGACACGGAGCCGAAGCGAAAGCGAGUCUUAAUAGGGCGAGAGUUGUAUGUCAUAGACCCGAAACCGAGUGAUCUAGCCAUGAUCAGGUUGAAGUUGGGGUAAAACCCGAUGGAGGACCGAACCGACCCCCGUUGAAACGUUGGCGGAUGAAUUGUGGCUAGGGGUGAAAUUCCAAACGAACUCGGAGAUAGCUGGUUCUCCCCGAAAUAGCUUUAGGGCUAGCGUCAGAGUGAAAGUUAUGUGAAGGUAGAGCACUGAAUAUGUGAUGGCCUCAUCCCGAGGUACUGAAUAUAAUCAAACUCCGAAUGUCACAGGAACAUAUCUGGCAGUCAGACUGUGGGUGAUAAGGUCCAUAGUCAAAAGGGAAACAGCCCAGACCAUCAGCUAAGGUCCCAAAAUAUAUGCUAAGUGGAAAAGGAUGUGGAGAUGUAUAGACAACUAGGAGGUUGGCUCAGAAGCAGCCACCCUUUAAAGAGUGCGUAACAGCUCACUAGUCGAAUGACUCUGCGCCGAAAAUUUACCGGGGCUAAGCAUAAUACCGAAGCUAUGGAUUUAUACGAAGAGUAUAAGUGGUAGGGGAGCGUUCCUCACAGCGACGAAGCAUGAUCGAAAGGACAUGUGGAGCGUGAGGAAGAGAGAAUGCCGGUGUGAGUAGCGGCACGUGGGUGAGAAUCCCACGCACCGAAGACCCAAGGUUUCCAGAGGAAGGUUCGUCCGCUCUGGGUAAGUCGGGGCCUAAGGCGAGGCCGAAAGGCGUAGUCGAUGGAUAACGGGUAGAGAUUCCCGUACCUGAAAUAGAGGCAAUGGAGUGACGGAGAAGGCUAAACGAUCCAGCUGCUGGAAUAGCUGGUGCAAGCGAGGUAGGUGACAUCCAGGCAAAUCCGGAUGUUGAAAGCCGAAGGCGUGAUGCGUAUGGAACACUUAGGUAAGUACAGAAGUCGUUGAAGCAAGCUUCCAAGAAAAGCUUCUAGCAAAACUCUAUAUCAGCCCGUACCGAAAAUGGACACACAUGGGUGAGGAGAGAAUCCUAAGGUGAGCGAGAGAACUAUAGCUAAGGAACUCUGCAAAAUGACUCCGGAGAAGGAGUGCUCAGUGAAAGCUGAGCCGCAGUAAAACGGCCCAAGCGACUGUUUACCAAAAACACAGCUCUCUGCCAAGACGCAAGUCGAAGUAUAGGGGGUGACGCCUGCCCGGUGCUGGAAGGUUAAGAGGAGUGGUUAGCGCAAGCGAAGCCAUGAAUUGAAGCCCCAGUAAACGGCGGCCGUAACUAUAACGGUCCUAAGGUAGCGAAAUUCCUUGUCAGGUAAGUUCUGACCCGCACGA
This 1449-nucleotide ribosomal RNA is filed under the name feces metagenome. RNAcentral describes it as "bacterial LSU rRNA". It matches the Rfam family "Bacterial large subunit ribosomal RNA", at positions 527 to 1995 of the family's 2925-position model. The record is from RNAcentral.